Molecule: non-coding RNA, 99 nt
Filed under: Paenalcaligenes hominis
Lineage: Bacteria; Pseudomonadati; Pseudomonadota; Betaproteobacteria; Burkholderiales; Alcaligenaceae
Description: SAM-I-IV sequence
Rfam family: SAM-I/IV (S-adenosyl methionine) riboswitch aptamer
About the family: It is found upstream of a number of genes which code for proteins involved in methionine or cysteine biosynthesis. It has been found mostly in the order Actinomycetales.
Source: Rfam by way of RNAcentral
GAUCUACAUUUCGAGUUGAACAUCUUGUUCAUGCCAACCUGUUACCCAUACAAGGUGGAUGCAUAAUGUGGCAUUACUAAUGCAAUACUGGGUUACCGC